This 66-nucleotide transfer RNA is filed under the name Aldisa cooperi. Its description in RNAcentral is "tRNA-Pro". The record is from RNAcentral. Lineage: Eukaryota; Metazoa; Mollusca; Gastropoda; Nudibranchia; Dorididae.
UCAAAAAGAGUUUUGCAGAAUACUAACUUUGGGAGUUAGAGGGUAGUUAAGGAUACUAUUUUUGAA